ACUCCCAUGCAAAGCACCCCAUAUGUCCAUGUUUGUAGCCAACACUUUCAGCCAGAGGAUUUUGAAACGUACCUGAAGUCUCAACUAAUGUGGUUGCCAGGUCGUUGAACGUUAAAAAGUGAAGCUAUUCCAUCGAUUUUCCCCUUCACUUCAAACAGGAAGGAAUCCGACCAGCCAACAUUAGCGUAGCAAAAAAUAAGUCGAGCAGAGGCCACCUGGAGGCAUUGCACAGUGCUCUCCUGAAGUACAACUCAAACUGGCAGCAUUUUGGGCUCCUGGGCAUGAACACAUCUUGUUAUCCCGGAUUAUAAUGAGAAUGUGGGACGCAAACAAGCCCGGACAGCCAAAGGAGACUUGCAGUACAAACAAAUCUUCUGCAAGAGGGCGAAGCAGUAGGUGGCGAAAAAAAAUGUAUGAGGUGUUCUUAAUGUUUUGUACAUUCAGUGUAUUAUAUUUUAUAGAAUGUUAUAUAAUCUUUUUUACAAGUGUACUGACAAGUGA
Long non-coding RNA from Oncorhynchus masou masou (cherry salmon), 501 nucleotides. RefSeq lists it as uncharacterized. The transcript is spliced from 3 exons. The record is from RefSeq and is a predicted model, not a curated record. Lineage: Eukaryota; Metazoa; Chordata; Actinopteri; Salmoniformes; Salmonidae.